CAGCCGUAAACUAUGCGCGUUAGGUGUAUCGGUGACCACGAGUUACCGAGGUGCCGAAGGGAAACCGUGAAACGUGCCGCCUGGGAAGUACGGUCGCAAGGCUGAAACUUAAAGGAAUUGGCGGGGGAGCACCACAACAGGUGGAGCCUGCGGUUUAAUUGGACUCAACGCCGGGAAGCUCACCGGAUAGGACAGCAGAAUGAUUGCCGGGCUGAAGACUCUGCAUGACUAGCUGAGAGGAGGUGCAUGGCGUAG
RNAcentral lists this ribosomal RNA (255 nucleotides) under uncultured archaeon. Its description in RNAcentral is "partial 16S ribosomal RNA". It matches the Rfam family "Archaeal small subunit ribosomal RNA", at positions 748 to 1002 of the family's 1478-position model. The record is from RNAcentral.